GCAUCUCUGUCGUUCGAAACUUACCCUAACUCUAGCAGUAGCUUUACUUUCGUAUCUCUUUCCCACGAUCUCCGCCUGCUCUGUAUGUAAAGAAAAAAAACCAAGUCAAUCUACAACUACUUCCCGAACGGAAGUCAGAAGAAUCCUCAUUUUCCUCACCUUAAACCGUAACACUAGGCAGUUGAUCUUCUCUCUCAAUCUCUCAUAAUUAUUUCAUUGAUCAAUCAAAGUUAUUUUUUCUAAACCCAUAUCUCAUAAACUAAAUCCAUCCUCAGAAACCAAACCCAAUCUUCAGUACUCUAGAUUUCGUACUGAACCCUAGAAUAUUGUUUUUUUCGACAUAAUCUUUAGAAAAUUAAUCUCUGCACGACAUCUUGCUGACAAGUCCGAGAAGAUGAGUUUAUAAGACCCUAGAUUCCUUGUUUAUGCUGAUGAUAUAUUGAGAAGAUUAGUCCAAAGCAGAGAAGCACGAAGAAUUAGAUUUUCGGGGUUCUCAAGCACAAUGGCUUGUGGUAGCCUGAAGAUAAGCAUUGCUAGAGUAUAGAGAUCCAUCCCUUUUAUAUUUAAGUGAAAUUGAGUACAUUUAAAAGUUUGAGGCAGCUGACCUGAAAUUUGUGGUGGGGAUGAAAGUGGAAAGUACUAGAGAGCUUCCAAGUCACCAUUUUAGACGGAAGUGCAAUUCCAUCCCAUGUUCAAAUUAAGACUUGGACGGCCUUCUGCUUUAAAUCUAGGUCUUAUAUUUCCAGCAAGCGGGGCAGUUGCAAGCGUACAUUGACAAGCAGCAACAUGGAAACUAGGAAAAAAGUUGAUUUUCUUCGGUCGUCGUCUGAUACUUUUCAUGUUUCAAAUCUAUACGUUUUGGAUUUAGGAAAUAUCAUUAGUGCACUAUAGACAACACUAAAGGCACCCAUGAAACUGGUGGAUCCAGAAAGUAAAAUUCUGAGUAAUACAGACUGUACAGUUUGUUUUACUUUUCUCUUUUGCAUGGGCAAGCGACAUCCUAGCGACAGUUUGGAGAAGCUCUUGCAGUGUGAGUGAGGACAUGCAUCUGCAGUAAACAAGACCUGGAGUAGUCACGCCCUUUCUUCUGUUCGAUGCGGAUGCGUUUACAUGUUUUGAUACUUACUGAUUAUAUUGAUGUCUUUGUUAUUAACUCUAGUAGAAUUCAUAUAUCGUUGAUUUGAUUCUGCGUAUAGAUUUCUGUUUUGUAGUUUGAUUCUUCACAAGACUAAACUUUAUGCUGCUGCGCUUGCUCCAUUCAAGGCUUACGAAGGUGAUGGUUUUCCCUAUGUAAUUGAUUUUUCAUUGUUGGCUCAUGUCAAGGUUUUUAAUCUUAAUUCAAAUACUACUAUUAGUACCUUAUACUUUAUUCAA
This is a long non-coding RNA of Papaver somniferum (opium poppy), 1374 nucleotides long. RefSeq lists it as uncharacterized. NCBI's taxonomy places the organism in Eukaryota, Viridiplantae, Streptophyta, Magnoliopsida, Ranunculales, Papaveraceae. The record is from RefSeq and is a predicted model, not a curated record. The transcript has 7 exons.